CUGUGUGCCUCCUUUUCUAACAGGAUGCCUUCUAAAGAAAACACAAUCAGGAAACAUAGUGAAGUCUUACACACAGUUAAGCCUGUUUGCAUGUAGUUUUAAUGCAUUAAAUUAUUAAUUAUACAUGCUAAAUGAGGAUCUUCCAACUCUGUUCUAUUUCAGUGUCUCAACUUGACUGCUAACGUAGCUCAUACAUUUUAGACUUCCUUGUGCAAAACUACUGGAUAGAAAGAGUCACAGCAGUUUUCCAGAAUGGCCUGUUCAUGUGAAGAAAAUCAAUGAAGUUUAUUCCCUGUGACAAAGAGUGUUGUUUGGAUGAAGUCAGCCCUUUUGACCUAGCAGCAUGGAGCUUUUCUGAUUCAGGUGGGAAAACAGACCAGACUCCUAUGGUUAAAAUUGCUAUGCAGGGAUGUCAAAUCUGACCUGUUCUCAAGACCACCAUGUGUGUCUUGGGUUAGCUACUGCAGCUGCCACUGAAUUAGAUAUUCCAUUGGCAUUUCUUUGGUUGAACUCUCUUCAAGUGGAGUCCUUAUAGGAUCACUUUCCUUACACCUCUUUCUGGAUUUACCACAAAGUGUGUGAUGUUCCACUUAAAACACC
This 600-nucleotide long non-coding RNA is filed under the name Cyanistes caeruleus (blue tit). RNAcentral's name for it is "lncRNA (ENSCCEG00000004808.1)". Lineage: Eukaryota; Metazoa; Chordata; Aves; Passeriformes; Paridae. The record is from RNAcentral.